Long non-coding RNA from Brassica rapa (field mustard), 2847 nucleotides. RefSeq lists it as uncharacterized. The record is from RefSeq and is a predicted model, not a curated record. NCBI's taxonomy places the organism in Eukaryota, Viridiplantae, Streptophyta, Magnoliopsida, Brassicales, Brassicaceae.
UGUUCGUUUCAUAGUCGCCACUUCCAGCGGCAGCGACAAAAAAAUUGCCUGUAACGGAGACGAAAUAACAAUUCCGGAGACGCAGAAAACCUAAAUCAGUCGCUGAUACAGUGUAGGAGACGCACAGAAUUAGACGCUGAUUUAUUCCGCGUUCCUUUCAUUCGCUAUUAGUUGCCGCAGCGACUGGAAAGUCAGUUGAUCGUGCUUCACCGAUGCUGUGGGUUGCUGUCAUUACGGUUUAAAUUUCUGACGCUACCGCUGGAGUCAGCGUUGAAGAAACGAACAGGGCAAUUGCUACCUCAAUUUCUUCAAAGAAACCAACUAAUGAUAAAAGCUUUCAUAUCUCAACACAAUAACAACAACAAAGUCGUUCACUGUCAUAUGUAUACUAAUACUCGUAUAUUAUAAAACAUGUUUUUAAAAUAUAAAAUGUUGAUACAACACGGACUCCACUAGCACAACUUAAUUAAUAUAUAUGCUAAAUGUUGUGAUCAAAUAGUGAAUCUAAAAAUAGUUGUAGAUUUAUAGAACCAAAAAGGAUGUGAAUGUUCCUAAAUAAACACAAGGAAAACAGACAAUUGGAUAGAUUAGUGUCACAAUUUCUCGUCAUGUUCUUUCCUUUUGCGUCCUACAGGGAGAAAACCUUGUUGAAAUUGAGCUAAACCUGGAACAUAAUUCAGAAGAACUGACCUAAGUUUACAAGUCAAGUGACCUGCUUGGUGCUUUUCCUUUUGCCUACUCCAAGAUGAGUCUCCGUAGAACUUAGACUAUUUCUUCUCAGAAUGUGUAAGAUGUUGUUAGUGUUCAAACACACAAAUAUUUGUUCUUCUUGUCUGCAAAGAAGUAUUCAUAUGCAUUACAAGAGAUCUUUAGAAAACAUCCUAUAACUCAAGACAACCAUAAAUCUACACGAAUGAUUAUCUUUAACACUAGAUCAUUAUCUGUAAUUAUAUAUAUGUAUAUCCAACAUGCACCCCAAAAUGAACGUUUUUCAGUCAGUCCAAUCUUUAUCGUUAAGUUAUGAACCGGGAUUGCAGAAGAGGCUUAGUGAAAGCGUCAUCAAGUUGAUCAACAGAGCUGAUGUGAGACACUCGUAGUUGUUUUGCUUGAAAAAGUUCUCGAACAAAAUGGUAAUCAAGUGCUCAUACGAGAGUGAAACACUGGGUUAGCACUUAUAAUAUGUUGCUCCUACAUUGUCGUGUUGUUGAGAUCGGUAUAUGAAAUUCAGAGAGUAAGAAGGCAAUCCUUUUGACUUAUAGAGUAGCAUCCUUCAGGCUUAUGUACUAAGAGUACGGUUGAACAAGACUAAGAGUACAACUCCUGGCGUGGCUAUGAUAUGCUCAGUUGAGCAUAUCGGCAUUGAGACGGGCAUUGCAUUUGCCCAUUUUUUCCACUUGAUUUGUGUGAGGAAAAGCCCCAAUGAGUUGGGAGUAGCUUCCAUUCCAAGAAUAUACAAAAGUGCACCAAAAUCCUUGAGAGAAAAUAUGUUGGCAAGAACCUUGAUGAACCGAAUAAUUGUAUUAUUUUAUUGUUCGUGAUGAUGAUAUUAUCUACAGAGAUGAUAUUACUAUAUACAUAAAGAAGAUAACUUGCACAGAAGACAAAUAAAAAUGCAUCCGCAAGAAGGGUUAACGAAACCAGCAUGAAUGAAGAAGUUGCGCAGGUCAUACCUUUUUUCAACAAAAGAAAAAUAACUUUAUUCAGAAAUAUGAUUUACAAAGAAUUGUUUUUAGUGUUCGGUAAAGUUCAAUCGUAUGACUCAUUCUACUUCUUUUCCCCAUCCCACUCUCCACUAUUAUUUGUCCUUAAUUAUUCCAGUUUCUUUAGACCAUCCGCAACGCGGAAUUAUAAGGAAUCCUUAACACAUAUUCCUAAGCAAUUACAAUUAAAAUAAUAAUAUUAUACUUAAAUAAGCUAAGGAGGAAUCCGUAAUUAAGGAUUAAAAUCAGUCGAUCCUUGUUGACGUGGAAUCUCCGUUCAAGCCUGACGUCUUCAAAGGUAAGGUAGCUCUCAUCACCGGAGGCGGAUCUGGAAUCGGUUUCGAGAUCUCUUCUCAGUUCGGCAAACAUGGAGCUUCCGUCGCCAUCAUGGGACGCAGGAAACAAGUCUUCGACGCCGCCGUCUCUGAUCUCCGAUCCCUCGGGAUUCAGGUAAUCUUUCAGAGAGGAUUUUUGUUUUUGAUUUGGGAUUGAAUAGUAUUCGAUUGCUUGUUGAAUUGCUUGUUCUCUUUGGAAUGUAUCUCCAAGGCUAUUGGAUUGGAAGGUGACGUUCAAUUGGGCUUUGCGUGUCUAUUCAGUACAUAGGAUCAGUGGAGUAAACAAAGUUCAACUACUAUUAUAAGCACCUCUUCACCCUCUUCCUAUCUUCACUUUCUCUCCAUCGAAAGAAAACAGAGUUUCACAAUCACAAUGUGCGACUCAGAUUAUCUCUCUCGCUGUUCCUCAUACGAGGCAGACGUUGAUUCAGACUCCGACGUCUCGAGCACCACCUGUUCCAACUGAGCGAGGAGAUGAUGCAAAGCCUUUUGCUCCUAUGGUGGUCACUGGGACUUUAGAUGAUGAUGGUUUGGGCCCUGUUUCUUGGUGGGAAGGUUCUACUUCUAAUGAGAAUCAUGAAGAUGAUGAUGAUACCUGAACCAAACUUCAAUCUCCAAAUGUAAGACUUCAGGUUCUUAAACUAGUAUGUUUUUCUUAACAUAGGAAGUUGGAAUUAGACUCCUUUCCCAUGAUUCUAGGAUUAGAUUCCUUAAUUUUGAUUUUAUCUGUGUAUGAAGAGAAAGACAAAAAAAAUAUUGAAUAUGGAAAAAUAUUUUUCUUAUAUAUAUGUGCAACUCUUGUGUCCUGCUCU